UGGGGAAUAUUGGACAAUGGGCGAAAGCCUGAUCCAGCCAUGCCGCGUGUGUGAAGAAGGUCUUCGGAUUGUAAAGCACUUUAAGUUGGGAGGAAGGGCAGUAAGCGAAUACCUUGCUGUUUUGACGUUACCGACAGAAUAAGCACCGGCUAACUCUGUGCCAGCAGCCGCGGUAAUACAGAGGGUGCAAGCGUUAAUCGGAAUUCCUGGGCGUAAAGCGCGCGUAGGUGGUUCAUUAAGUUGAAUGUGAAAGCCCCGGGCUCAACCUGGGAACUGCAUCCGAAACUGGGGAGCUAGAGUAGGGCAGAGGGUGGUGGAAUUUCCUGUGUAGCGGUGAAAUGCGUAGAUAUAAGAAGGAACACCAGUGGCGAAGGCGACCACCUGGGCUCAUACUGACACUGAGGUGCGAAAGCGUGGGGAGCAAACAGG
Molecule: ribosomal RNA, 429 nt
Filed under: Pseudomonadota bacterium
Lineage: Bacteria; Pseudomonadati; Pseudomonadota
Description: Proteobacteria bacterium partial 16S ribosomal RNA
Rfam family: Bacterial small subunit ribosomal RNA
Source: RNAcentral